This is a long non-coding RNA of Ctenocephalides felis (cat flea), 445 nucleotides long. RefSeq lists it as uncharacterized. The transcript is spliced from 3 exons. NCBI's taxonomy places the organism in Eukaryota, Metazoa, Arthropoda, Insecta, Siphonaptera, Pulicidae. The record is from RefSeq and is a predicted model, not a curated record.
ACAGUAUGUCAUAUAUGCAUGAACUUGAUUGAUGUAUUGAUGUAUAAUGAACUGAAGAUAUAAUGAAUUCAAUCAGGUUAAAAAAAAUGUAUGUGCAAAAGCGACUCGAAGACGAUUUAGAUUUGUCUCCUGAAUAUAAAACUUCCAAGAAGUACAUCAUAUAUGAAUAUCCUGUAUCCUCGCAUUUGAUGUAUUGAACUGGCGAUAGAAUGAAAUCAGUCAGUGUUAAAAAUGUAUGUGUAAAAGCGACUUUAAGAUGAUGGAGAUUUGUACACUGAACAUAAAACUUCCAAAAUUUGGGGCAGUAUGUCAUAUGUGCAUAAUCUGUAUCCUGGCAUUUGAUGCAAUGAACUGGCGAUAGAAUGAAAUAAUGAAAAAUAGGCAGGCUGUUUGAUGUAUAAGGAAGUGGCGAUAGAAUACUUAUGCAACACUUCACACUUCACGC